GAUGAACGCUGGCGGCGUGCCUAAUACAUGCAAGUCGAGCGAACGGACGAGAAGCUUGCUUCUCUGAUGUUAGCGGCGGACGGGUGAGUAACACGUGGAUAACCUACCUAUAAGACUGGGAUAACUUCGGGAAACCGGAGCUAAUACCGGAUAAUAUUUUGAACCGCAUGGUUCAAAAGUGAAAGACGGUCUUGCUGUCACUUAUAGAUGGAUCCGCGCUGCAUUAGCUAGUUGGUAAGGUAACGGCUUACCAAGGCAACGAUGCAUAGCCGACCUGAGAGGGUGAUCGGCCACACUGGAACUGAGACACGGUCCAGACUCCUACGGGAGGCAGCAGUAGGGAAUCUUCCGCAAUGGGCGAAAGCCUGACGGAGCAACGCCGCGUGAGUGAUGAAGGUCUUCGGAUCGUAAAACUCUGUUAUUAGGGAAGAACAUAUGUGUAAGUAACUGUGCACAUCUUGACGGUACCUAAUCAGAAAGCCACGGCUAACUACGUGCCAGCAGCCGCGGUAAUACGUAGGUGGCAAGCGUUAUCCGGAAUUAUUGGGCGUAAAGCGCGCGUAGGCGGUUUUUUAGUCUGAUGUGAAAGCCCACGGCUCAACCGUGGAGGGUCAUUGGAAACUGGAAAACUUGAGUGCAGAAGAGGAAAGUGGAAUUCCAUGUGUAGCGGUGAAAUGCGCAGAGAUAUGGAGGAACACCAGUGGCGAAGGCGACUUUCUGGUCUGUAACUGACGCUGAUGUGCGAAAGCGUGGGGAUCAAACAGGAUUAGAUACCCUGGUAGUCCACGCCGUAAACGAUGAGUGCUAAGUGUUAGGGGGUUUCCGCCCCUUAGUGCUGCAGCUAACGCAUUAAGCACUCCGCCUGGGGAGUACGACCGCGAGGUUGAAACUCAAAGGAAUUGACGGGGACCCGCACAAGCGGUGGAGCAUGUGGUUUAAUUCGAAGCAACGCGAAGAACCUUACCAAAUCUUGACAUCCUUUGACAACUCUAGAGAUAGAGCCUUCCCCUUCGGGGGACAAAGUGACAGGUGGUGCAUGGUUGUCGUCAGCUCGUGUCGUGAGAUGUUGGGUUAAGUCCCGCAACGAGCGCAACCCUUAAGCUUAGUUGCCAUCAUUAAGUUGGGCACUCUAAGUUGACUGCCGGUGACAAACCGGAGGGAGGUGGGGAUGACGUCAAAUCAUCAUGCCCCUUAUGAUUUGGGCUACACACGUGCUACAAUGGACAAUACAAAGGGCAGCGAAACCGCGAGGUCAAGCAAAUCCCAUAAAGUUGUUCUCAGUUCGGAUUGUAGUCUGCAACUCGACUACAUGAAGCUGGAAUCGCUAGUAAUCGUAGAUCAGCAUGCUACGGUGAAUACGUUCCCGGGUCU
Molecule: ribosomal RNA, 1371 nt
Filed under: uncultured bacterium
Lineage: Bacteria
Description: bacterial SSU rRNA
Rfam family: Bacterial small subunit ribosomal RNA
Source: RNAcentral